UCCUGUAACGAAAGUGAUGAUGGUGUGACGUCGCCACGUCAUUGAUAGUACAGGAAGAUAAAACUGCCGGCCUUUCCCGUGUCUGCUGGACGUGUUCCUGCCCAGACCCUGGCGCCUGCAGACA
Small nucleolar RNA from Synchiropus splendidus (mandarinfish), 124 nucleotides. RefSeq annotates it as small nucleolar RNA SNORA71. NCBI's taxonomy places the organism in Eukaryota, Metazoa, Chordata, Actinopteri, Syngnathiformes, Callionymidae. The record is from RefSeq and is a predicted model, not a curated record. The transcript has a single exon.